RNAcentral lists this ribosomal RNA (970 nucleotides) under uncultured bacterium. RNAcentral's name for it is "bacterial SSU rRNA". It matches the Rfam family "Bacterial small subunit ribosomal RNA", at positions 151 to 1135 of the family's 1533-position model. The record is from RNAcentral.
GGGAAAUNGGUUCUAAUACCGANUAUNNCUUUCCAUANCANGGUGGUGGUGAAAGUUUUUGUGGUUUUGGAUGGACUCGCGGCCUAUCAGCUUGUUGGUGAGGUAAUGGCUUACCAAGGCGACGACGGGUAGCCGGCCUGAGAGGGUGACCGGCCACACUGGGACUGAGACACGGCCCAGACUCCUACGGGAGGCAGCAGUGGGGAAUAUUGCACAAUGGGCGCAAGCCUGAUGCAGCGACGCCGCGUGAGGGAUGACGGCCUUCGGGUUGUAAACCUCUUUCAGUAGGGAAGAAGCGAAAGUGACGGUACCUGCAGAAGAAGCGCCGGCUAACUACGUGCCAGCAGCCGCGGUAAUACGUAGGGCGCAAGCGUUAUCCGGAAUUAUUGGGCGUAAAGAGCUCGUAGGCGGUUUGUCGCGUCUGCCGUGAAAGUCCGGGGCUCAACUCCGGAUCUGCGGUGGGUACGGGCAGACUAGAGUGAUGUAGGGGAGACUGGAAUUCCUGGUGUAGCGGUGAAAUGCGCAGAUAUCAGGAGGAACACCGAUGGCGAAGGCAGGUCUCUGGGCAUUAACUGACGCUGAGGAGCGAAAGCAUGGGGAGCGAACAGGAUUAGAUACCCUGGUAGUCCAUGCCGUAAACGUUGGGCACUAGGUGUGGGGGACAUUCCACGUUUUCCGCGCCGUAGCUAACGCAUUAAGUGCCCCGCCUGGGGAGUACGGCCGCAAGGCUAAAACUCAAAGGAAUUGACGGGGGCCCGCACAAGCGGCGGAGCAUGCGGAUUAAUUCGAUGCAACGCGAAGAACCUUACCAAGGCUUGACAUGGACCGGACCGCCGCAGAAAUGUGGUUUCCCCUUUGGGGCUGGUUUACAGGUGGUGCAUGGUUGUCGUCAGCUCGUGUCGUGAGAUGUUGGGUUAAGUCCCGCAACGAGCGCAACCCUCGUUCUAUGUUGCCAGCACGUGAUGGUGGG